Molecule: long non-coding RNA, 337 nt
Organism: Folsomia candida
Lineage: Eukaryota; Metazoa; Arthropoda; Collembola; Entomobryomorpha; Isotomidae
Exons: 3
Source: RefSeq, a predicted model, not a curated record
AGUUCUGUCUUGUUAGGAAUAACCUACACAUUAAUGUAAAUACGGUUUUUAGCACGAUUUAUAUACGACGAGUAUUCUACAUACAAACUGUUUUUAUUGUCCGUUAUAGAAAAACAAAUUUGAAAAUGAGCAAAAACGCAAAAGACAUGGGAGAUGGGGAUCUUCUGAAGAUUCAUGUCACUCAUUGCCGCGGAUGAUCGUUUGGAAAGCGGUUCAAGGAUCUGAAGAAGGACCUUGAACAACGUUUCCCAAAUCAAUUGGAGAUUACGUUUGAAAAGACGCCUACUAAAACGGGAGACUUUGAAGUGCAAAUUGUGGGGGGACCACUUCUCCAUUC